This 253-nucleotide ribosomal RNA is filed under the name uncultured bacterium. RNAcentral describes it as "partial 16S ribosomal RNA". It matches the Rfam family "Bacterial small subunit ribosomal RNA", at positions 524 to 776 of the family's 1533-position model. The record is from RNAcentral.
UACGUAGGGGGCAAGCGUUGUCCGGAUUUAUUGGGCGUAAAGAGCGUGUAGGCGGCCAGGUAGGUCUGCUGUGAAAACUCGAGGCUUAACCUCGAGAUGUCGGCGGAAACCAUCUGGCUAGAGUCCGGAAGAGGAGAAUGGAAUUCCCGGUGUAGCGGUGAAAUGCGCAGAUAUCGGGAAGAACACCCGUGGCGAAGGCAGCUCGCUGGGACGUUACUGACGCUGAGACGCGAAAGCGUGGGGAGCAAACAGG